Molecule: non-coding RNA, 99 nt
Filed under: uncultured Caproiciproducens sp.
Lineage: Bacteria; Bacillati; Bacillota; Clostridia; Eubacteriales; Acutalibacteraceae
Source: RNAcentral
UACAGGGGCGCUGAGUAACCUCGGCUGAGAUGAAGCGAACUGACGUUUAUGUCCCUUAAACCUGAUCUGGAUAAUGCCAGCGUAGGAAAAGAUGAUUUU